GACGAACGCUGGCGGCGUGCCUAAUACAUGCAAGUCGAGCGAGCUUGCCUAGAUGAUUUUAGUGCUUGCACUAAAUGAAACUAGAUACAAGCGAGCGGCGGACGGGUGAGUAACACGUGGGUAACCUGCCCAAGAGACUGGGAUAACACCUGGAAACAGAUGCUAAUACCGGAUAACAACACUAGACGCAUGUCUAGAGUUUGAAAGAUGGUUCUGCUAUCACUCUUGGAUGGACCUGCGGUGCAUUAGCUAGUUGGUAAGGUAACGGCUUACCAAGGCAAUGAUGCAUAGCCGAGUUGAGAGACUGAUCGGCCACAUUGGGACUGAGACACGGCCCAAACUCCUACGGGAGGCAGCAGUAGGGAAUCUUCCACAAUGGACGAAAGUCUGAUGGAGCAACGCCGCGUGAGUGAAGAAGGGUUUCGGCUCGUAAAGCUCUGUUGGUAGUGAAGAAAGAUAGAGGUAGUAACUGGCCUUUAUUU
Molecule: ribosomal RNA, 482 nt
Filed under: uncultured bacterium
Lineage: Bacteria
Description: bacterial SSU rRNA
Rfam family: Bacterial small subunit ribosomal RNA
Source: RNAcentral